UACGUAGGGUGCAAGCGUUGUCCGGAAUUAUUGGGCGUAAAGAGCUCGUAGGCGGUUUGUUGCGUCGGCUGUGAAAUCCCGGGGCUCAACCCCGGGUCUGCAUUCGAUACGGGCAGACUAGAGUUCGGUAGGGGAGUCUGGAAUUCCUGGUGUAGCGGGUGAAAUGACGCAGAUAUCAGGAGGAACACCGGUGGCGAAGGCGGGACUCUGGGCCGAUACUGACGCUGAGGAGCGAAAGCGUGGGGAGCAAACAGG
This 255-nucleotide ribosomal RNA is filed under the name uncultured bacterium. RNAcentral describes it as "partial 16S ribosomal RNA". It matches the Rfam family "Bacterial small subunit ribosomal RNA", at positions 524 to 776 of the family's 1533-position model. The record is from RNAcentral.